This 252-nucleotide ribosomal RNA is filed under the name uncultured bacterium. RNAcentral's name for it is "partial 16S ribosomal RNA". It matches the Rfam family "Bacterial small subunit ribosomal RNA", at positions 524 to 776 of the family's 1533-position model. The record is from RNAcentral.
UACGAAGGGGGCUAGCGUUGCUCGGAAUCACUGGGCGUAAAGAGCUCGUAGGCGGCUUGUUGCGUCGGCUGUGAAAACCCGCGGCUUAACCGUGGGCUUGCAGCCGAUACGGGCAGGCUAGAGUUCGGUAGGGGAGACUGGAAUUCCGGUGGAGCGGUGAAAUGCAUUGAGAUCGGAAAGAACACCAACGGCGAAAGCACUCUGCUGGGCCGACACUGACACUGAGAGACGAAAGCUAGGGGAGCAAAUGGG